UUGGUUGAGAAUUAUAGGGUAAUGAGUUAGGAAAACAAAGCGAGCAGUGGGAGCCGCUCACUGCGCCAACAUUAAUGUGCGCGAGAAUUUCUGGAGGGGUAAUAGGCUGGCCAAGCGUUGACGCUGCUUACUUUGCAGAACUCGCUUGUGCGGGUCUCCC
This is a small nuclear RNA of Juglans regia (Persian walnut), 160 nucleotides long. RefSeq annotates it as U12 minor spliceosomal RNA. NCBI's taxonomy places the organism in Eukaryota, Viridiplantae, Streptophyta, Magnoliopsida, Fagales, Juglandaceae. The record is from RefSeq and is a predicted model, not a curated record. The transcript has a single exon.